ACGGGAGGCAGCAGUGGGGAAUGUUGGGCAAUGGGCGCAAGCCUGACCCAGCAACGCCGCGUGAAGGAAGAAGGCUUUCGGGUUGUAAACUUCUUUUGUCGGGGACGAGUAGAAGACGGUACCUGACGAAUAAGCCACGGUUAACUACGUGCCAGCAGCCGCGGUAAUACGUAGGUGGCAAGCGUUGUCCGGACUUACUGGGUGUAAAGGGCGUGUAGCCGGGUCGGCAAGUCAGAUGUGAAAUCCACGGGCUUAAGUCGUGAACUGCAUUUGAAACUGUUGAGCUUGAGUAUCGGAGAGGCAAUCGGAAUUCCUAGUGUAGCGGUGAAAUGCGUAGAUAUUAGGAGGAACACCAGUGGCGAAGGCGGAUUGCUGGACGACAACUGACGGUGAGGCGCGAAAGCGUGGGGAGCAAACAGGAUUAGAUACCCUGGUA
This 436-nucleotide ribosomal RNA is filed under the name uncultured Oscillibacter sp. RNAcentral's name for it is "partial 16S ribosomal RNA". It matches the Rfam family "Bacterial small subunit ribosomal RNA", at positions 341 to 792 of the family's 1533-position model. Lineage: Bacteria; Bacillati; Bacillota; Clostridia; Eubacteriales; Oscillospiraceae. The record is from RNAcentral.